RNAcentral lists this ribosomal RNA (479 nucleotides) under uncultured bacterium. RNAcentral describes it as "partial 16S ribosomal RNA". It matches the Rfam family "Bacterial small subunit ribosomal RNA", at positions 28 to 507 of the family's 1533-position model. The record is from RNAcentral.
GAUGAACGCUAGCGGGAGGCCUAACACAUGCAAGCCGAGCGGUAUUGUUUCUUCGGAAAUGAGAGAGCGGCGUACGGGUGCGUAACACGUGUGCAACCUGCCUUUAUCUGGGGGAUAGCCUUUCGAAAGGAAGAUUAAUACUCCAUAAUAUAUUGAACGGCAUCGUUUAAUAUUGAAAGCUCCGGCGGAUAGAGAUGGGCACGCGCAAGAUUAGCUAGUUGGUGAGGUAACGGCUCACCAAGGCGAUGAUCUUUAGGGGGCCUGAGAGGGUGAUCCCCCACACUGGUACUGAGACACGGACCAGACUCCUACGGGAGGCAGCAGUGGGGAAUAUUGGUCAAUGGGUGCAAGCCUGAACCAGCCAUCCCGCGUGAAGGACGACUGCCCUAUGGGUUGUAAACUUCUUUUGUAUAGGGAUAAACCUACCCUCGAGAGGGUAGCUGAAGGUACUAUACGAAUAAGCACCGGCUAACUCCGUG